Molecule: ribosomal RNA, 490 nt
Filed under: uncultured bacterium
Lineage: Bacteria
Description: partial 16S ribosomal RNA
Rfam family: Bacterial small subunit ribosomal RNA
Source: RNAcentral
AUUGAACGCUGGCGGCAGGCUUAACACAUGCCAGUCGAGCGGUAGCACAGGGGAGCUUGCUCCCUGGGUGACGAGCGGCGGACGGGUGAGUAAUGUCUGGGAAACUGCCUGAUGGAGGGGGAUAACUACUGGAAACGGUAGCUAAUACCGCAUAACGUCGCAAGAACAAAGAGGGGGACCUUCGGGCCUCUUGCCAUCAGAUGUGCCCAGAUGGGAUUGGCUUGAAGGUGGGGUAAUGGCACACCUAGGCGACGAUCCCUAGCUGGUCGGAGCGGAGGACCAGCCACACUGGAACUGGGCCACGGUCCAGACUCCUACGGGAGGCAGCAGUGGGGAAUAUUGCACAAUGGGCGCAAGCCUGAUGCAGCCAUGCCGCGUGUGGGAAGAAGGCCUUCGGGUUGUAAAGCACUUUCGGCGAGGAGGAAGGUGGUGAGCUUAAUACGUUCAUCAAUUGACGUUACUCGCAGAAGAAGCACCGGCUAACUCCGUG